This 395-nucleotide ribosomal RNA is filed under the name uncultured bacterium. RNAcentral describes it as "partial 16S ribosomal RNA". It matches the Rfam family "Bacterial small subunit ribosomal RNA", at positions 355 to 739 of the family's 1533-position model. The record is from RNAcentral.
UGGGGAAUAUUGCACAAUGGGCGCAAGCCUGAUGCAGCCAUGCCGCGUGUGUGAAGAAGGCCUUCGGGUUGUAAAGCACUUUUGUCCGGAAAGAAAUCCUUGGCUCUAAUACAGUCGGGGGAUGACGGUACCGGAAGAAUAAGCACCGGCUAACUACGUGCCAGCAGCCGCGGUAAUACGUAGGGUGCAAGCGUUAAAUCGGAAUUACUGGGCGUAAAGCGUGCGCAGGCGGUUUGCUAAGACCGAUGUGAAAUCCCCGGGCUCAACCUGGGAACUGCAUUGGUGACUGGCAGGCUAGAGUAUGGCAGAGGGGGGUAGAAUUCCACGUGUAUCAAGUGAAAUGCGUAGAGAUGUGGAGGAAUAACCGAUGGCGAAAGCAGCCCCCUGGGCCAAUA